AUCCAACUGACGAGCCCUAAAUAAGACUAAGCGCGCGUCAAGCUGGAU
This 48-nucleotide non-coding RNA is filed under the name Schistosoma mansoni. Lineage: Eukaryota; Metazoa; Platyhelminthes; Trematoda; Strigeidida; Schistosomatidae. The record is from RNAcentral.